This 251-nucleotide ribosomal RNA is filed under the name uncultured bacterium. Its description in RNAcentral is "partial 16S ribosomal RNA". It matches the Rfam family "Bacterial small subunit ribosomal RNA", at positions 524 to 776 of the family's 1533-position model. The record is from RNAcentral.
UACAGAGGUCUCAAGCGUUGUUCGGAUUCAUUGGGCGUAAAGGGUGCGUAGGUGGCGCGGUAAGUCGGGUGUGAAAUUCGGAGCUUAACUCCGAACUGCAUUCGAUACUGCCGUGCUUGAGGACUGGAGAGGAGACUGGAAUUUACGGUGUAGCAGUGAAAUGCGUAGAGAUCGUAAGGAAGACCAGUGGCGAAGGCGGGUCUCUGGACAGUUCCUGACACUGAGGCACGAAGACCAGGGGAGCAAACGGG